This 194-nucleotide non-coding RNA is filed under the name Staphylococcus xylosus. The record is from RNAcentral. Lineage: Bacteria; Bacillati; Bacillota; Bacilli; Caryophanales; Staphylococcaceae.
ACCUCGUUUAGUUUAUUAGCAUUUAUAAAAUUAUUUGUAAGGACCUUAUUCUUUCAAUGUUUUAAUGUAAAAUUACAUGUGCAUGCGACAUAUUUUGCGAGACUCUUGAGGAAACAGGAUAAGCAGAAGACUACAAGCUGAAGCUGUCCUCUAAGAAAGUGCGAGCCAAUAAUACGAAGUAUUGAACAAAAAAG